UACGAAGGGUGCAAGCGUUAUUCGGAAUUACUGGGCGUAAAGCGCGCGUAGGCGGUUUGUUAAGUCUGAUGUGAAAGCCCUGGGCUCAACCUGGGAAUUGCAUUGGAUACUGGCAGGCUAGAGUGCGGUAGAGGAUGGCGGAAUUCCCGGUGUAGCAGUGAAAUGCGUAGAGAUCGGGAGGAACAUCUGUGGCGAAGGCGGCCAUCUGGACCAGCACUGACACUGAGGCACGAAAGCGUGGGGAGCAAACAGG
RNAcentral lists this ribosomal RNA (253 nucleotides) under uncultured bacterium. Its description in RNAcentral is "partial 16S ribosomal RNA". It matches the Rfam family "Bacterial small subunit ribosomal RNA", at positions 524 to 776 of the family's 1533-position model. The record is from RNAcentral.